AUGGUGUACCAGGAAAUAUUCACAAAGAAGCCAGAGAAGAAAAGUGUGGAUAGGUGGAAACCGCCUCAGGAUGAGAUGUUCAAGAUUAACGUCGAUGGCUCUUUUGUGCCAGGUGAUAACCAUGCUGGCUGGGGCGUAGUGGCGAGGGACUCGACGGGCGCGGUCAUCUGUGCGCGUGCAGGUCGACAGGAACAGGUUGGUGACACCUUCGGUGCUGAGGCCAAUGCUAUGGCACAUGGCGUCACGCUAGCUGCCGACUUGGGAUUGCUGAGAGUGAGCUUCGAAACUGAUUCCCAGCUUCUGGCGGAUGCCAUGGACCUGCGAAGGGCCGACUCCUCUGCAUACUCCGCAGUCAUUGAGGAUACCAAGCUACAGAUGAAGUUGUGGUUCUCGCGCCAUGUAAUCUUGUCUUGUAGGAGAGAGGCGAACUCGGCUGCCCAUGAACUAGCUAGUUUGGGUCGUUUGUGUGAGAUAAACCACUCGAUGCAGUGGGACGAUGAUGUACCAGCCGCUGUGGCGGCCUGUGUCCAGGCUGAUUUGCCUGGGCACCGUUAA
RNAcentral lists this ribosomal RNA (555 nucleotides) under Triticum aestivum (bread wheat). Its description in RNAcentral is "partial small subunit ribosomal RNA". Lineage: Eukaryota; Viridiplantae; Streptophyta; Magnoliopsida; Poales; Poaceae. The record is from RNAcentral.